GCGGCAGCUCUAUGGAGUGUUCAAGUGAGAAACAUUUGUUUCGACUUUUGGUGGACGAACAAAUCGUCGGUGCCGAAAAACGUGGCCUGCGCUGAUGGUGCUUGAAACAUCAAGCAUGGUAUGUGGUGACUGUCAGUGUUGAUCGAGGAACUUGGAAGGAGAACACUUAGGCCGUCGACCGUUCAUCCAUUUCGUUAGCUGCACCAAGUAUAUUGUGUCCUUGUAUUCCAUGGGCACACAAUCAUGAAGCAUGGCGUCUGAGCUGUGUUCACAGAGCGGGGAGAUGCUCUUGCUGCUAUCUUAUCCGUCCUGUGUAUUCCCAAGUGCCGAAGGCUCACAACGAUGGUGUUGGACAAGUCAGAUAAAAUAGAGUCAACAUCGUCACACGGUGCUGUGACCAAGAUACGGAUCAUGCCGAACGCUGAUUCAACUGGACGAAUCGCGAGGCUUUUCAGAUGCAGGGACACAAUGGAAACUGAAUGACUUCAGAACAGCACUGAAGCGUUAUGUUAUCAUGCAAGACGCCUUUCUGCGCCGCACAAACACAGGCGGUACUACAGCAGAAGAUGUCACUCACUAUUCUGCAGGUGCACUGGUGACAGGCGCAUGCAAGUUCACCAGAAGGAAGCGGUCUGAUGGUAACUGGAAUGCCAGCAGUAUGAGAGGGUGUGCAUUCUGCGGCGGAUCUCACCUGGACAAGAGCUGCGCGAAAUACACAACAGUAGCACAGCGGAAAGAAUAACUGAUUGAACAGAAGCGUUGCUUUGUGUGUUUGCGCACAGGGCACCGGUCAACUCAGUGCAAGGCCACCCGCAAGUGUAAUGUGUGUUCUCGCAUGGGUCACCAAUCAGAGUCACCAUCAUGUCACGAUCUGCCCUGAAUCUCAACAGAAAUCUGACAGCAGUACCAACAUAGUAGCUGACCAGCCUGUGGCUGACGAGGUACCAGCAUCUAGCGCAACAGCAGCUAGUGCAGCAUCAACCAGUAUCGCCAUUGACCGUAAGAUAGUCAGUCGUCUUGAUCGGUGCAGAUUUCCUCUGGGAGUCUCAGUUGACGUGGAGCACCAGAGGACUUCCGCCAGGACUACAGUUUCUGCCUACCACAGUCGGUUUUGUGGUGACUGGCCGAACACGUCACUCCAAACACUCACCUACGCCGAUGAGCAGCCAUGCCAGCUAUCGUUUCUCUAACUGAUGCAACUUCCGACUCCUGCACCAUCCCAGAUCUGUGGGACCUAGACUGUGUUGACAUCCAGGAUUCAGGCAAUCUUACUAACAACGACCUAGCCAUUAGGCAAUUCAUCAUUGUUCUACGACUUUGCCUGCCACCAAUCGUCAUGACCUGCGAUACUGAGAAGGCCAUUUUACAAAUCAGUGCCAACCCAGCAUACAGAGUUGCGACACGAUUUCUGUGGUUCGCCAACUCCGACAGUCCAUCAGUCACCCCAUCCAGCCUGUUCACGCUCAUAAGCAGUCCAUUUCUGCUUGGCGCGUCUAUACAGCAUCAUUUGGCACAGCAAGAUGACAAAACAGCUAGCAGUGGCUGUUGGUGAGAACAUUUUCUGCUGUGCCAUUGGAGUGUGCACGAUACACGAACCCUGCUCUUUUGUUGGCACCGCCUAUGUAACUUACUGCAUAGGGUGCAAGGUGACCGUUGUCGGUUUACAUGUACUCCAGUUAUUACACCGUGCAUGCACUGAGUCUGUGCUGCACUGUGCAUCCAUAGGUGUUCGUUUGCGGUAGCGCAAGGUGACACGCAAGGUUGAUGGAUUGUUUUGUCCGCUGCUAUUCGAAGCUCUCGGAAGCGUUAGCUCUGUUCCCCUGUUCCUCCCUGCGCGGAGUCUGUAGUUCUGGCUUGCAGUUGCUGUUACAUGCAUGUUGGCAGUUGCAUGUGUGUUUGGUUUUCAGUUGUCUUUAUUUGUUUUGUGUGGACGACAGUUCAAUAUUCUAGCAGUUGUUGCACUUCCUACUUCUGAAGUACAUUCCGUAGUUAUCUGCGGUUGGUGUUUGAGAGAGCAAACUGUGUUCUUCUCCAGAGUGGAGUAAACCAUUCGCUUGUGUCUGAGGAAAACCCUGUGUGUUGACGAAGAGGUUGACUUGGCUGUAGAGUGAAAGUACCACAUGGUCACAUGGUCCACAAAAUCUUAGAACUACUUGUAACUUAGGGUCUUCUGGCGUAUGGUAUAAUUAUAUGAGCAGCAUGAGAGUGAAGUAAAAGACUAUUAGCUCAAACAUUCAGUCUUUCAGGAGUAGGUGUUUCAUCACGGAAUAGGUUCUGCAGUUCACUUACACACUGCAACAAUGGACCAGCAGUGUCCAGCAUACAAUAGAGUCAUGUGAAUAUGUACCGUAUGCAUACUCACAGCUGCAAGGCCAGCGCCCCGUGGCUGCUUGACUUCUCAAUCGAUAUAAAUAUUCACAACAGUAA
Molecule: long non-coding RNA, 2427 nt
Organism: Sycon ciliatum
Lineage: Eukaryota; Metazoa; Porifera; Calcarea; Leucosolenida; Sycettidae
Exons: 2
Source: RefSeq, a predicted model, not a curated record